AAGCACUGCUCCCAUCUCAGCCUCUCAAAGUGCGGGGAUUACAGGCAUGAGCCGCCGCAGCCAAUUAUCUUGCAUUUGUCUAGCAUGUUUACCUACUUCGGUGGCUGCCAACCCCUGUUGCACAUUAGCAUUAAUCACCUGGGGAGAUUUGAUAAAUAGACUUGCCCAGGAUUUGGGGAGGGAGCUGGGCACUGGUGUUUUGUUAAACCUUCCCCAGGUGGUUUUGAUGCACAGGAAGGGUUGAGAACCGUUUGUCAUCUGGGCCCUCAUCGGGGUCCUGUGCAUGGGGAUUAUUGGCCCCAUUCCCCAGGUCAGGAGCGUGAGGCUUGAAGUUACGGAGAAGUUUUCAGGGUCACACACCUGAGGCCAAACAGCUGCUACAGAGUAGAGUUCAUAGUCAAUGACAAAGAACUCUCCACCGGGGUCAGCACAAAGUUUGCAGGUUCAGCAGGAGGCACCCUCCACUGUGGAACAGGAGGAGAGCGUGGAGCUGCUAGCGUGCUCAUCCUGUCACCCUGGGAAAACCCAGGCUAGAGCAGGAAGAAAUGCAGUUAUACGUGACGCCGAUGCCGCAAGGGACAGCAUGCACCUCCUGGAACGUGUGUGCCUGGGAAAAUCGCUGCCAGUUGUCAACAUGCAUCCUCAGCCUACCCAAGGCAGCUGGGCCUUCUUCCUGACACUUUGCAAAAGAGGGCAAGGACAGACUGUUGGACACAGCCAUGUGGCUGAGUCCUUCAGUGGAAGAAUGUCAGGCAGAUAAUUGGUCCCACAGGGGUCCUGUGAACGAUACAGUCCCCCCCCCCACCAGGGUAUCAGUUCUGGAAGAAGAUGGCCCAUUUCCAAGUGUCAGUCAUGAAGGUAACUUCAUAAAAACUGUACUUUCAAAUAUAUGGUUUAUUUUCUUUGGACUACCCAAACUUAGUCUUUGGACUAAUGCCAGAAUCUGAAUCUGAACACAUUUAGCAGUCCAUUUCUGCCAUAUUAGGUAACAUAGAUAAAUGUGGCAAAAAAAAAAAAAAAAAAAA
Long non-coding RNA from Sapajus apella (tufted capuchin), 1025 nucleotides. RefSeq lists it as uncharacterized. Lineage: Eukaryota; Metazoa; Chordata; Mammalia; Primates; Cebidae. The transcript has 2 exons. The record is from RefSeq and is a predicted model, not a curated record.